This 1340-nucleotide ribosomal RNA is filed under the name metagenome. RNAcentral describes it as "SSU rRNA". It matches the Rfam family "Eukaryotic small subunit ribosomal RNA", at positions 1 to 1375 of the family's 1831-position model. The record is from RNAcentral.
UCUGGUUGAUCCUGCCAGUAGUCAUAUGCUUGCCUCAAAGAUUAAGCCAUGCAUGUCUAAGUAUAAAUAGUAUACAGUGAAACUGCGAAUGGCUCAUUAAAACAGUUAUAGUUUAUUUGAUAAUUGACAAUUACAUGGAUAACCGUGGUAAUUCUAGAGCUAAUACAUGCUUAGACGCCCGACUUUAUGGAAGGGUGGUAUUUAUUAGACUGAAGCCAAUAUUCCUUGUGUCUAUUGCGGUGAUUCAUAAUAACUGAUCGAAUCUCUUUUUGAGAUAAAUCAUUCAAGUUUCUGCCCUAUCAGCUUUCGAUGGUAGUGUAUUGGACUACCAUAGCAGUAACGGGUAACGAAGAAUUAGGGUUCGAUUUCGGAGAGGGAGCAUGAGAAACGGCUACCACAUCUAAGGAAGGCAGCAGGCGCGUAAAUUACCCAAUCCUGACUCAGGGAGGUAGUGACAAGAAAUAGCAAACCGGGAACCUCAUGGUUUCACGGUAUUGCAAUGAGAACAAUUUAAAACCCUUAGCGAGAAUCAAGUGGAGGACAAGUCUGGUGCCAGCACCCGCGGUAAUUCCAGCUCCACUAGCGUAUAUUAAAGUUGUUGCAGUUAAAAAGCUCGUAGUUGAACCUCUGUCUGGGGCUAGUUUUGGCUUUGGUCAGGCUAGUUCUAGGCAUCCGCCUACAAGACUUAGAGGGCAUUCAGUUGUUCACUAGGAGGAGUAGGCAUUUUACUUUGAAAAAAUUAGAGUGUUUAAGGCAGGCAAUCGCCCGCAUAUAUUAGCAUGGAAUAAUAGAAUAGGACACUUUUCCAUUUCGUUGGUUAUUGGAAUCGUGUAAUGAUUAAUAGGGACAGUUGUGGGCAUUUGUAUUUAAUUGUCAGAGGUGAAAUUCUUGGAUUUAUUAAAGACAAACUAACGCGAAAGCAUUUGCCAAGGAUGUUUUCAUUAAUCAAGAACGAAAGUUAGGGGAUCAAAGACGAUCAGAUACCGUCCUAGUCUUAACUAUAAACUAUUCCGACUCAAUGUUUGACUGGCUUAUAUAACCAGUUGAGCGUUGUAUGAGAAAUCAAAGUCUUUAGGUUCUGGGGGGAGUAUGGUUGCAAAGCUGAAACUUAAAGGAAUUGACGGAAGAGCAUAACCAGGAGUGGAUUCUGCGGCUUAAUUUGACUCAACACGGGGAAACUUACCAGGUUAAAACAAUAGUGGGAUUGACAGUUUGAGAGCGCUUUCUUGAUUGGUUGGGUGGUGGUGCAUGGCCGUUCUUAGUUGGUGGAGUGAUUUGUCUGCUUAAUUGCGUUAACGAACGAGACCUUAACCUGCUUACUAGCCUGGCGAUCAUCAAUC